CCAAUACUACAUUUAUUGGCCUAUAUAAGCACCACAACCUUACACGAUAGGUUUUACUCUAACCUGUCUCUACCUCAAGCUUAUAUUAGUUUGGCCGCCGUCAAAGAGUUUUUUGCAGGUACCCCUUUUAAUCUUUUCUAGAACCUUACGACUUUCUGAUCAAAUUUUUUUCUCACAAAUCUUCAUCUAACCAUCGCUCGUUUUCAUAUCUUGUUUUCCACUCCAAUCGCACUCCAUCAUCUAACAACUAUGAAACACCUUCAUAUCUAUCAUUUUCCAUUUCAAUGGAUCUCAUAUCAAAAUUAGAUCCCUACUAAUUUGUCUAUCGAUUUUCCAAUCUCCCCUCAUCCAAUUUUUUUCUCGUGAAUCCGUCUGAAUCUGAGGUAUGUUAAGGGUUUUGAUUUUUAGAUUUAAUGCUAAGUUGAUUCUUAACUUUUCUUACUGAUUAUGUGUUGAUAAUUAACUUUGAUAUUUCUAGGUUCAUUGUGAUAUUUCGAGAAUGUAUUGAAUUUUUUGAGCUUCUUCGAUCAAUUUAACUUCAAUUAGAGAAUCUAGGGUAUUUUAAAAAGCUUUAUUUUAUUCCUUUUCUGCAUUGUUUUACGUUGAUUAAUAGAAAAUGAUAUGAAAUGAGAAAAUGUUGAUCAAUUUUUUCAUGUUUUUUUUGUUUGUUUUGUUGGUUUGUUGGUGGAUGAUUGAGGAAACUCAUUUAGAAUUUUUUGUGUUUACAAUUUUAUUUUUUGUUUUUCAGUAAUUGAUGUUUAGGGGAAUUGGAGGAUCUAUUGGUCAAUAAAAGAUAUUUCGAAAAUUUUAUUUUUGAAUCUCUCGUUUAUUUGAUUUGCGUCGACCUUACACAUCUCUCGUGAAUCAGGUUUGUUCACUUUGUCAUGUUUAUAUUAAGUUUAUAAUUGAUUGAUAUGGUACUGAUUUUAAGGUUGGAUUCUUUCAAAGUUUUGCUUUAUCUUUAUGCUUCUAAUGAACCAUUAUAGCUAAUCCUUGUUAUAAACACCAUACUAGACAGUCAAUCUACUUAUAUUCUAAAGUCCAUAGGAAAGUUGUGUUUAGUUGUCACGACUUGUCCUUUAAUUUAUUGAUGAAAUCAUGCAAAUUGUUAAAUUGUUGAGGUGACACUUUAUUUAUAUUCAAAUAUAAAAUGAAAACUAUGAGUAUAAAAACUACUUUGAAAUUUGUUAAAUAGUUAAUUAUCAUGAUCAUGAAGAUGAGUUUUCUCAACCCUUUUGCUAUUAGGACACCCACAUCAUAAUCAUUUCUUUUCACAAACACUAGAAUUAUACUUUGAGAAUAAAUUAGCAUGCAUUUUUCUCGGAAUUUCUUCUAAAUUAAUAGUCUGUUUUUAUUUUUUAUAAAGGUUAUACCAUUAAUACCAUUUUCUUAAAAUGCAAAAUAAUACAUAUUAAAAUUUAAUUACCAAUGAAUAAUAUUCAUUACUUUUAUUUGUUAAAAAUAGUUCAUUGAUAAUUUUUAUGCUGAAAUAUUUUAUUUAUUUUUGACGAUUUAAUUUUUGUGAAAAAUAAACAUAAAUAUAUACUAUGAAUAUUUCAAUAAAUAAACAUAACUUAUUAUUCCAGUCUAGCUUAGGUUCACAACAACGAUUAAUAUAUGAACCUUUAGAUGGUGGUGUUUGGUCAAAAUCCACCUAUUCACCCCAACGGUGGGUGUGUACCUAAAAAUAAUAUGACGCUCAAGUUAGUGUUCGCCUUAGGUAAAGUUUAGAUUUUGAACGAAGUAUACCUUCAAUAGGGUUGAUGUGAUACUUAUAUAUAUAUACUCUAAAAGAUGUGGUAGUCGGAUCUUGAGGAAACCUCAAUCCGUCUCUCUAGAAAAUUUAAGAUUUGGUAUCAAUCUAGAGUUUGAGAAGUUUAACUUGAACUCUAGAUAUAAGAAAUGUCUUCUAGGUCUUACAUGAUUGAGGACCGAAAUAAAAAUAUCUUAAGAUUACUGACAUAUUUCCCUUUGAUCUGCCAUGGCUUGUGAAUAAAAAAAUCCUCACUAAUCAACGGAGAAAGAAGAAAAAAGAGAUCUUGAAUGAAGGUGGAUGACGGUGAAUAUGAAUAAUUUUAUCCACCUUUACUCCACCAUUCCAGAUCUACUUUUUCUUCUUUCUAUGUUGAUUUUUUAGAAUUGUAUUUAUUCACAAUCACAACAGAUAAGAGAGAAAUGUGUCAACAAUAUUAAGAUAUUUUUAUUUUCAGUCCUAAAUCAUGUUAAAUCUGGAAGAUAUUUCUCAGAUCUAGAUUUCAAGUUGAACUUUCGAAACUCUAGAUUGAUAUACAUGAUCAUAAAUUUUAUUGAGAGAUGGAUUGAGGUUUCCUCAAGAUCUAAAAAAUAACACAUCUUUUAAAGUAUAUAAGCAUCACAUCAACCCUAUUGAAGCUUCGUUCAAAAUCUAGACUCUACCUAAAACAAACACUAAUUUGAGCGUCAAAUUAUUUGUAGGUGCACACCGAUGCACCGUCGGGGUGAAUACAUGGAUUCCAGCCAAACACCAUCUAAUUAAGGUUUAUAAAUUCAUCGUUGUUGUGAACCUGAGCUAUGGUCUAGAACAAUAAGUUACGUCUAUUUAUUGAAACAUUCAUGGUAUAUACUUAUGUUUAUUAUUCACAAAAACUAAAUCAUCAAAAAUAGUCAAAAUAAAUAAACUAUUUCAGCAUAAAAGUUAUUAAUGACAAACAAAAUCAAUAAAUUUUAUUCAUCGGUAAUUAUAUUUUAAUAUGUAUUAUUUUUAUUUUAGGAAAAUGAUAUUACUGGUAUAACUUUUAUAAAAAAACAUAACAAUAGACUAUUUAUUUAGAAGAAACUCUAAAUUAUAAUAAAAUUUAUAAUUUUAAUACACUUUAAAGAUUUUUAUCAAUAUAGUACUAAUCGGUAAAACAUAAAUAUUCAGUCAAAAUAAAAUAAAUACGACUAGUUCUAAAAAUUUAUAUAUUAAUAUCAUUUACAAUUUUCUUAUAUAGCAACUCCAUCCCUGAAGUUGCACGCGUCAAUCAAAUUCAUCCUUGAAUUAUUUGAAAUAACUAAAAUUUCUGAGUUUGUGAAAGUUACUUCAAAUCAGUCCCACAGUUAACUUAACUGUUAAUGGUGUUGACAUGUCAUGUUAUCUGCUUACGCGUCAUUCCACAUAAUCAGCCACAUCUCUAGGGAUCCUUCCAUAUCAUCAGCCAUGUGUCCAGGGGACCAAUUUGAUUGAUUUUGAAAUUCGGAUGGCAAAUAUUUCACUAUUCACAACGGUUCAAAUUUCACUAUUUUCAUGAAAUGAUUAUCUGUUGUUGGUUCACCCUUCAACAUAUAAUUCAUUGUUAAAAUUCCAUUUUCUUCUUCAUACUUUGAAAUUGUCGUAGAAACAUUUUUGUCAAAUUUUACUUUAUCUUUCCACCAGCCACUUAGAUUUAGGAUGAGCCACUCAUUGGUUUUCCAUCUUUAAGUACUAUUCCAUAUAAGAAACCGCGAAUAUCACAUUCUUCCAUCAUCUUUAAAAUUUUAGGGAUGGCGAAAGAAUGUGAUAUUCGAGAUUUCAUCUAUGGAAUAGUACUUGAAAAUGGCAAACCAGUGAGUGGUUUAUUAUAAAAUACCUAGGAGGUUGGUGGAACGAAAAAGUAAUAUUUAAUAGAACGACAGUUCAACAAGAGCAAAGUAUGAAGAAGAAAAUAGAAUUUCAAUAAUGGAUGAUAUGUUGAAGAGUGAACCAACAACACACUUACUCACUCCAUGACCUACCUGAAACAACAUUAGAUUCACUUUUAUCAUUAUUAAUGUAACAUUGUGAACUAGCACAAAAAGGAGAUAUCCCUCGGAGAGAGGUGUUCAACUACCAUAUGGUGGCCAACAUGGAAAAAAUGUUGGUUGAGUGAAAUGGAAUUUAUUGAAGAUCUUGGCCCACCAACUUACAAAAAUCUGUUGGUGCAGAUGACUGAAAAUGAUUAACCGGAGGCGUGUAAUAACUAAACUAAGGAAUUAUCCGCAAAUAUUGCGCAACUCCUCCAGAAUACAACCGGUUCUUCUCGAUGAUAAACGUACCGAGGCUAUCAAGACACAAGAAUAUCAACAAAGUUGAUAACUCAGGC
This 4079-nucleotide long non-coding RNA is filed under the name Trifolium pratense (red clover). RNAcentral describes it as "long non-coding RNA (TPRA_LNC003123)". Lineage: Eukaryota; Viridiplantae; Streptophyta; Magnoliopsida; Fabales; Fabaceae. The record is from RNAcentral.